Molecule: unclassified non-coding RNA, 332 nt
Filed under: soil metagenome
Description: partial contains 5.8S ribosomal RNA, internal transcribed spacer 2, and large subunit ribosomal RNA
Rfam family: 5.8S ribosomal RNA (bases 1-120)
Source: RNAcentral
GAUGAAGAACGUAGCAAAAUGCGAUAAGUAAUGUGAAUUGCAGAAUUCAGUGAAUCAUCGAAUCUUUGAACGCACAUUGCGCCCGCCAGUAUUCUGGCGGGCAUGCCUGUUCGAGCGUCAUUUCAACCCUCAAGCACAGCUUAGUGUUGGGACUCGCGUUAAUUCGCGUUCCCCAAAUUGAUUGGCGGUCACGUCGAGCUUCCAUAGCGUAGUAGUAAAACCCUCGUUACUGGUAAUCGUCGCGGCCACGCCGUUAAACCCCAACUUCUGAAUGUUGACCUCGGAUCAGGUAGGAAUACCCGCUGAACUUAAGCAUAUCAAUAAGCGGAGGA